RNAcentral lists this long non-coding RNA (204 nucleotides) under Homo sapiens (human). RNAcentral's name for it is "HSALNT0262532". The record is from RNAcentral. Lineage: Eukaryota; Metazoa; Chordata; Mammalia; Primates; Hominidae.
GGAACAGUCAGGACUGGAAUCUAGCUUUGCUCCAAAGCCAGCUCUUAAUUACCAACAUGGGGAUGGGGGUGGCGUGUUCCUGGCCCUCAUUUUCCGGGAGAGGGGUAACUCCCCCGAUUUUGGCCCCCACAUCCCUGAGAACCUUGGGGUCUGGCUGUAGGAGGUAGGGGAGCUCUGAGGGGUCCGCGCUGGCUAGUUCCUGAG